Molecule: long non-coding RNA, 828 nt
Organism: Hibiscus syriacus
Lineage: Eukaryota; Viridiplantae; Streptophyta; Magnoliopsida; Malvales; Malvaceae
Exons: 2
Source: RefSeq, a predicted model, not a curated record
UAUUUCAAAGCAUUUGUUUAUGCUAAAAAAAACACCUACCUAUCUUAAUCCCUACUCUUCACAGCCGCUCAUCCAAGACUUAGGAAAACAAAUUCUUAGCUUUCUUUCUCCUUAGUAAAAAGAUGAACCGACAUUUUCCUUUGAACCAUGAUUCCUCUCAAAACAAACACUCCUUGAUCCCUGCAACAACCCUCAGCCUAGAUUUAAAAGAAAAGGAUUAUAUUUACUCUGAUGAAAAGGUUUUCUUCGUUCCAAUGAUGAAUCAAAGGCUGCGUUUCUCAAACGAAGAAGGUCUCUAUUGAUGAUGCUUGGCGAGGGGUCUCUAUUGAUAGCUUCGAAGGACUGUGAUGAGGGUGGUUGGUUAGGGUUUUUAACGCCUUAAAUUUUAUGGGGGGUUUUCUUAUGAUACUACAGUUUUUUAUAUUUUUAUUCUAUUUUUUUUGUUAUUUUCACUGUAUUUUUUAGUUUGUUCAGGAUCGAUGAUAGAGACUGGGAGCUCUGGUGACCUGCAGCGAGAGAGGCUUUGACUAGUGGUGACGGCGCAACUCUUUUUCUCCUUAGUGGUUACAGUAGCUAGGUUAAGUUAGGAUUUGGUGUUUUGGGCUAGGUUUAGGUUUAUGUGAGUAAAUGAGUUUGGUAUUGUAAUGGUCCCAAUGAAACUCAAAUAUAGAUCCUAUACAUAAUUUGUAUCUACAGCUGUCCGUCUUUGUUCAUUAUGUGAAACAUAAAUAGAGCAAAGAUCAAAAGAUGGUUAAUUUUAUCGGUGGGAUAGUUUAGGGUCUAUUUAGGGUCUCAAAAUACCUUGGAAGGUCAAUCUGCUUAUUGCAA